GGCGCAAGCCUGAUCCAGCCAUGCCGCGUGCGGGAAGAAGGCCUUCGGGUUGUAAACCGCUUUUGUCAGGGAAGAAAUCUUUUGGGUUAAUACCUCGGAAGGAUGACGGUACCUGAAGAAUAAGCACCGGCUAACUACGUGCCAGCAGCCGCGGUAAUACGUAGGGUGCGAGCGUUAAUCGGAAUUACUGGGCGUAAAGCGUGCGCAGGCGGUCUUGCAAGACAGGUGUGAAAUCCCCGGGCUUAACCUGGGAACUGCACUUGUGACUGCAAGGCUGGAGUACGGCAGAGGGGGAUGGAAUUCCGCGUGUAGCAGUGAAAUGCGUAGAUAUGCGGAGGAACACCGAUGGCGAAGGCAAUCCCCUGGGCCUGUACUGACGCUCAUGCACGAAAGCGUGGGGAGCAAACAGGAUUAGAUACCCUGGUAGUCCACGCCCUAAACGAUGUCAACUGGUUGUUGGACGGCUUGCUGUUCAGUAACGAAGCUAACGCGUGAAGUUGACCGCCUGGGGAGUACGGCCGCAAGGUUGAAACUCAAAUGAAUUGACGGA
Molecule: ribosomal RNA, 550 nt
Filed under: uncultured beta proteobacterium
Lineage: Bacteria; Pseudomonadati; Pseudomonadota; Betaproteobacteria
Description: bacterial SSU rRNA
Rfam family: Bacterial small subunit ribosomal RNA
Source: RNAcentral